This is a non-coding RNA of Picea glauca (white spruce), 119 nucleotides long. Lineage: Eukaryota; Viridiplantae; Streptophyta; Pinopsida; Pinales; Pinaceae. The record is from Rfam.
CAGUGUGAUCAUUCCAACGAUAAAGCACCAGAUCCCAUCAAAACUUUGCAGUUAAGCACUCUUGGGCUAGAGUAGUAUUUGGAUGGGUGAACUCCUGGGAAGUCCUAGUGUUGCACCCU